Molecule: ribosomal RNA, 254 nt
Filed under: uncultured bacterium
Lineage: Bacteria
Description: partial 16S ribosomal RNA
Rfam family: Bacterial small subunit ribosomal RNA
Source: RNAcentral
UACAGGAGGUGCGAGCGUUGUUCGGAAUUAUUGGGCGUAAAGGGCGCGUAGGCGGUGCGGUAAGUCACCUGUGAAAUCUCCUGGCUCAACUGGGAGCUUGCAGGCGAAACUGCCGUGCUGGAGUGUGGGAGAGGUGCGUGGAAUUCCCGGUGUAGCGGUGAAAUGCGUAGAUAUCGAGAGGAACACCUGCGGCGAAGGCGGGUUGCUGGGCUGACACUGACGCUGGAACUGACGAAAGCUAGGGAGCGAACGGG